AUGUACAACGCAUGCGUUGCGGCUCCAAGCGCGCUGCCCGCACCUAACUGACGACUGCUCGCGACGUAUUAUUUUCC
Molecule: small RNA, 77 nt
Filed under: Xanthomonas axonopodis
Lineage: Bacteria; Pseudomonadati; Pseudomonadota; Gammaproteobacteria; Lysobacterales; Lysobacteraceae
Also listed under: 1 other name
Description: sX9
Rfam family: Xanthomonas sRNA sX9
Source: RNAcentral